UCGGGAAUUUUGGGCAAUGGGCGAAAGCCUGACCCAGCAACGCCGCGUGAAGGAUGAAGUCUCUCGGGAUGUAAACUUCGUAAGAAUAGGAAGAAUAAAUGACGGUACUAUUUGUAAGGUCCGGCUAACUACGUGCCAGCAGCCGCGGUAAUACGUAGGGACCAAGCGUUGUUCGGAUUUACUGGGCGUAAAGGGCGCGUAGGCGGCGUGGUAAGUCACUUGUGAAAUCUCCGGGCUUAACUCGGAACGGUCAGAUGAUACUGCUUUGCUAGAGUGCAGAAGGGGCAAUCGGAAUUCUUGGUGUAGCGGUGAAAUGCGUAGAUAUCAAGAGGAACACCUGAGGUGAAGACGGGUUGCUGGGCUGACACUGACGCUGAGGCGCGAAAGCCAGGGGAGCAAACGGGAUUAGAUACCCCGGUAGUCCCUGAGCGGGCUGGCAAGGCGCAU
This 447-nucleotide ribosomal RNA is filed under the name uncultured bacterium. RNAcentral describes it as "bacterial SSU rRNA". It matches the Rfam family "Bacterial small subunit ribosomal RNA", at positions 355 to 825 of the family's 1533-position model. The record is from RNAcentral.